Molecule: ribosomal RNA, 496 nt
Filed under: uncultured bacterium
Lineage: Bacteria
Description: partial 16S ribosomal RNA
Rfam family: Bacterial small subunit ribosomal RNA
Source: RNAcentral
AUUGAACGCUGGCGGAAUGCUUUACACAUGCAAGUCGAACGGUAGAGGGGGCAACCCCUCGAGAGUGGCGAACGGGUGAGUAAUAUAUCGGAACGUGCCCAGUCGUGGGGGAUAACGUAGCGAAAGUUACGCUAAUACCGCAUACGAUCUAUGGAUGAAAGCGGGGGACCUUCGGGCCUCGCGCGAUUGGAGCGGCCGAUAUCAGAUUAGGUAGUUGGUGAGGUAAAGGCUCACCAAGCCGACGAUCUGUAGCUGGUCUGAGAGGACGACCAGCCACACUGGGACUGAGACACGGCCCAGACUCCUACGGGAGGCAGCAGUGGGGAAUUUUGGACAAUGGACGCAAGUCUGAUCCAGCCAUUCCGCGUGCAGGACGAAGGCCUUCGGGUUGUAAACUGCUUUUGUACAGAACGAAAAGGUUUCUAUUAAUACUAGGGGCUCAUGACGGUACUGUAAGAAUAAGCACCGGCUAACUACGUGCCAGCCGCCGCGGUAA